CCUACGGGCGGCUGCAGUGGGGAAUAUUGCGCAAUGGGCGAAAGCCUGACGCAGCGACGCCGCGUGGAGGAUGAAGGUCUUCGGAUUGUAAACUUCUGUUAAGUGGGAAGAAAGCUCUGCUUUUAAUAGAAGCGGAGGAUGACGGUACCAUUAGAGAAAGCACCGGCUAAACUCGUGCCAGCAGCCGCGGUAAUACGAGUGGUGCAAGCGUUAUUCGGAAUCAUUGGGCGUAAAGGGUGUGUAGACGGUAUGUUAAGUCAACUGUUAAAUUCUCC
Molecule: ribosomal RNA, 275 nt
Filed under: uncultured bacterium
Lineage: Bacteria
Description: partial 16S ribosomal RNA
Rfam family: Bacterial small subunit ribosomal RNA
Source: RNAcentral